Molecule: ribosomal RNA, 280 nt
Filed under: uncultured bacterium
Lineage: Bacteria
Description: partial 16S ribosomal RNA
Rfam family: Bacterial small subunit ribosomal RNA
Source: RNAcentral
CGCCUACGGGGGGCAGCAGUGGGGAAUAUUGCACAAUGGGGGGAACCCUGAUGCAGCGACGCCGCGUGAGUGAAGAAGUAUUUCGGUAUGUAAAGCUCUAUCAGCAGGGAAGAAAAUGACGGUACCUGACUAAGAAGCCCCGGCUAACUACGUGCCAGCAGCCGCGGUAAUACGUAGGGGGCAAGCGUUAUCCGGAAUCACUGGGUGUAAAGGGAGCGUAGACGGCUGUGCAAGCCUGAAGUGAAAGGCGGGGGCCCAACCCCCGGACUGCUUUGGGAAC